RNAcentral lists this non-coding RNA (112 nucleotides) under Rhodoferax fermentans. Its description in RNAcentral is "TPP sequence". It matches the Rfam family "TPP riboswitch aptamer (THI element)". From Rfam's summary of the family: Vitamin B(1) in its active form thiamin pyrophosphate (TPP) is an essential coenzyme that is synthesised by coupling of pyrimidine and thiazole moieties in bacteria. The record is from Rfam by way of RNAcentral. Lineage: Bacteria; Pseudomonadati; Pseudomonadota; Betaproteobacteria; Burkholderiales; Comamonadaceae.
ACCCUUCACCGGGGGUGUCUGGCCUACCGCAGCAAUGCAGCAGGCCAGGCUGAGAAAAACCCCAUACCUGAUCUGGAUCAUGCCAGCGUAGGGAGCGUGAUGGGUUGUUGGC